UGUCUUCAGGGCAGGGUGUAAUUCCCGACCGGCGGUGAUAGUCCGCUACUCCGUAAGGAUCGAACCGGUGAAAUUCCGAUACCGACAGUAAAGUCUGGAUGGAAGAAGAU
Molecule: non-coding RNA, 110 nt
Filed under: Ligilactobacillus aviarius
Lineage: Bacteria; Bacillati; Bacillota; Bacilli; Lactobacillales; Lactobacillaceae
Description: FMN riboswitch (RFN element)
Rfam family: FMN riboswitch aptamer (RFN element)
About the family: The RFN element is a highly conserved domain that is found frequently in the 5'-untranslated regions of prokaryotic mRNAs that encode for flavin mononucleotide (FMN) biosynthesis and transport proteins.
Source: RNAcentral